CGAGCGUUGUCCGGAAUUACUGGGCGUAAAGAGCUCGUAGGUGGUUUGUCGCGUUGUCCGUGAAAACUCACAGCUUAACUGUGGGCGUGUGGGCGAUACGGGCAGACUAGAGUACUGCAGGGGAGACUGGAAUUCCUGGUGUAGCGGUGGAAUGCGCAGAUAUCAGGAGGAACACCGGUGGCGAAGGCGGGUCUCUGGGCAGUAACUGACGCUGAGGAGCGAAAGCGUGGGGAGCGAACAGGAUUAGAUACCCUGGUAGUCCACGCCGUAAACGGUGGGUACUAGGUGUGGGUUCCUUCCUUGGGAUCCGUGCCGUAGCUAACGCAUUAAGUACCCCGCCUGGGGAGUACGGCCGCAAGGCUAAAACUCAAAGGAAUUGACGGGGGCCCGCACAAGCGGCGGAGCAUGUGGAUUAAUUCGAUGCCACGCGAAGAACCUUACCUGGGUUUGACAUGCACAGGACGCCGG
RNAcentral lists this ribosomal RNA (468 nucleotides) under uncultured organism. RNAcentral describes it as "SSU rRNA". It matches the Rfam family "Bacterial small subunit ribosomal RNA", at positions 535 to 1001 of the family's 1533-position model. The record is from RNAcentral.